GUCUUUUUGAGUUAUUUUUAAAGUCUGACCUGCCCACUGAAUAUUUUUAAAUGGCCGCAGUAUUCUAACUGUGCAAAGGUAGCAUAAUCAUUAGUCUUUUAAUUGAAGGCUGGUAUGAACGGUUGGACGAAGUAUAAGCUGUUUCAUAUAAAAUUAUAUUAGAAUUUUAUAUUUUAGUUAAAAAGCUAAAAUAUUAUUAAAAGACGAGAAGACCCUAUAAAUCUUUAUAUUUAAUAUUAUUCAAAUUUUUUUGAUUAAUUUUAUUUUUAUAAUAUUAAAUAUUUUGUUGGGGUGAUAUUAAAAUUUAACAAACUUUUAAUUUUGAAUUAGAACAUUAAUUUAUGAAUAGUUGAUCCAUUAUUAAUGAUUAUAAGAUUAAGUUACUUUAGGGAUAACAGCGUAAUUUUUUUUGAGAGUUCAUAUCGACAAAAAAGUUUGCGACCUCGAUGUUGGAUUAAGAUAUAUAUUUAGGUGUAGCCGUUUAAAUAUUAAGUCUGUUCGACUUUUAAAUUCUUACAUGAUCUGAGUUCAA
This 532-nucleotide ribosomal RNA is filed under the name Ceratitis rosa (Natal fruit fly). Its description in RNAcentral is "partial 16S ribosomal RNA". The stretch from base 391 to 532 matches the Rfam family "Bacterial large subunit ribosomal RNA", at positions 2473 to 2614 of the family's 2925-position model. RNAcentral also lists the same sequence under 2 other names. The record is from RNAcentral. Lineage: Eukaryota; Metazoa; Arthropoda; Insecta; Diptera; Tephritidae.